GUCCAGUGCUCGAGGGCAAGGACCAGAACCUGGACCACAGGGACAGAGACACUCCCAAGCUCAGAUGUGAUGUGAUCCCAGGCUUGUGGUCUUAUCAGAGAACUCAGGGAUCCCUUUCCUUGUAUGGAGACAGGGUCACUGGGCCCAGGAGGCCAGCCCCUAAGGGACACGCCCACUGUUGCUGAGGACCUGGUUCCACCCACCAGGGAUGGGGUAGGGGAGAGAAGAUCAGAGGUCCCACCUUCCUUGUGUACUGUAUGUGUCUGUUGGAGUGUAGAUCGUUGUAGCAUAAAGGGUGCAGGUAAAAUUGGCAGGUAGGGCAUUGACAGGAGAUCUCCUGAUGGCUCACAGUGAUGUCCAAACAGCCUCCCAUCGAGGGGCCCUACAUGUCUAAGGUGCAGUUAAAAUUUGGGGGUAGGGAAUUGAAAGGACAUCUCCUGAUUGCUGGUAGUGAUGUCAAAGCACCACUAACAAGGGUCUACAUUUCUAAGGUGCCAUUGAAACCAAGAGGGGAGAGGGCCGUCUCUAUGUGGCAACCAUGGGAGGGGGCCACUGCCAAGUUGCUCCACCCCCGAGGCCCAUCACAGGCUGACCAACACAUUCAUCAAAAUUAUGUGUGUUGUCUUUCAAAGAAACCGUAUUUUUCAUAAUUUAGUUUUUUUUUCUUUCAUAGUAUUAUGAGUUAGAACAUUGACAGAAAGAAAGUUUUAAUAUUGUUAAGAAGACAUCUGAAGAGACUGGAAGGAGGAGCUGCUAACCACAGGAAACUGAUGUAUUUCUCUCAAGAGUUCUGGUUGUCUUCAGUCAGUCAGACAGAAAACAUUGAGAGAAGAAGAGACAGAGAAGAGCAGAGGAGAGAACAAUGUUUGACUUCACAUCACUUCUCUUCCCUCUGAUUCUGACAUGGAUGCUCACAUUUACAGACGCUCAAAUAUUCAGAGACGAGACUGUCAGAGUUGGAGAUGAAGUCACUUUGAAAUGUGAAGAUGCAAAAGAUUUCAGUGAUGGAUGUUACUGGAUCACCUGGAUCUACACUAAUAUGACCAUUCAUCUAUCAUUUACCUUGUUUGAACUCGGAAAUAUUUACAAAGAUGUUGGAUCUAAAUCAGACAGACUGAGAGUUACAGAGAAAUGUUCUCUGGUUAUAAAGAAGAUCACAGAUGAAGAUGCUGGAACAUACAACUGCAGACAGUUCAAUACAUCAGGACACAAGGAGACAGAGUUUCAGGUUGAACUGACAGUUAUAAACAUAAAUGAUGUGACAUCAACACCAAAACCAACAUUGAAACCAUUGUCUAAAAGAAGAGUCUUUGAGUCAACAACCACAUUGAAGCCGUCAUCAUCUUCAGCUAAAUCCAGAUCAACCACAGCAUCAGAUACAUACCACUUUAA
This is a long non-coding RNA of Oryzias melastigma (Indian medaka), 1392 nucleotides long. RefSeq lists it as uncharacterized. The transcript is spliced from 3 exons. Lineage: Eukaryota; Metazoa; Chordata; Actinopteri; Beloniformes; Adrianichthyidae. The record is from RefSeq and is a predicted model, not a curated record.